This 873-nucleotide ribosomal RNA is filed under the name Bacillus subtilis. RNAcentral describes it as "bacterial SSU rRNA". It matches the Rfam family "Bacterial small subunit ribosomal RNA", at positions 55 to 906 of the family's 1533-position model. The record is from RNAcentral. Lineage: Bacteria; Bacillati; Bacillota; Bacilli; Caryophanales; Bacillaceae.
AUGCAGCUCGAGCGGACAGAUCGCGGUAGCUUGCUCCCUGAUGUUAGCGGCGGACGGGUGAGUAACACGUGGGUAACCUGCCUGUAAGACUGGGAUAACUCCGGGAAACCGGGGCUAAUACCGGAUGGUUGUUUGAACCGCAUGGUUCAAACAUAAAAGGUGGCUUCGGCUACCACUUACAGAUGGACCCGCGGCGCAUUAGCUAGUUGGUGAGGUAACGGCUCACCAAGGCAACGAUGCGUAGCCGACCUGAGAGGGUGAUCGGCCACACUGGGACUGAGACACGGCCCAGACUCCUACGGGAGGCAGCAGUAGGGAAUCUUCCGCAAUGGACGAAAGUCUGACGGAGCAACGCCGCGUGAGUGAUGAAGGUUUUCGGAUCGUAAAGCUCUGUUGUUAGGGAAGAACAAGUACCGUUCGAAUAGGGCGGUACCUUGACGGUACCUAACCAGAAAGCCACGGCUAACUACGUGCCAGCAGCCGCGGUAAUACGUAGGUGGCAAGCGUUGUCCGGAAUUAUUGGGCGUAAAGGGCUCGCAGGCGGUUUCUUAAGUCUGAUGUGAAAGCCCCCGGCUCAACCGGGGAGGGUCAUUGGAAACUGGGGAACUUGAGUGCAGAAGAGGAGAGUGGAAUUCCACGUGUAGCGGUGAAAUGCGUAGAGAUGUGGAGGAACACCAGUGGCGAAGGCGACUCUCUGGUCUGUAACUGACGCUGAGGAGCGAAAGCGUGGGGAGCGAACAGGAUUAGAUACCCUGGUAGUCCACGCYGUAAACGAUGAGUGCUAAGUGUUAGGGGGUUUCCGCCCCUUAGUGCUGCAGCUAACGCAUUAAGCACUCCGCCUGGGGAGUACGGUCGCAAGACUGAAACUCAAAG